CAACAGGGCGAGGGCGUGAGAGGCGCGGCAAAUGUGUUUCGGCCAAAGGGAUGAAACCCUAGGGCGCCCCACCCCUCUAUUUAUAGAGGUUCCUAACAAGCCUCUGGGUCCGAGGCCAAUUAGUACUUCUAAACCUGAUCCAACUCGGAUCAUAUCCGAAUUAGGAUUCCAGCCCCUUAAGUGUGUGACCCUAUGGGUUCGGAUACG
This 207-nucleotide long non-coding RNA is filed under the name Setaria viridis. RNAcentral describes it as "long non-coding RNA (SVIR_LNC001807)". Lineage: Eukaryota; Viridiplantae; Streptophyta; Magnoliopsida; Poales; Poaceae. The record is from RNAcentral.